RNAcentral lists this ribosomal RNA (777 nucleotides) under uncultured bacterium. RNAcentral's name for it is "bacterial SSU rRNA". It matches the Rfam family "Bacterial small subunit ribosomal RNA", at positions 18 to 774 of the family's 1533-position model. The record is from RNAcentral.
CCUGGCUCAGAUUGAACGCUGGCGGCAGGCCUAACACAUGCAAGUCGAGCGGAAACGAGUUAUCUGAACCUUCGGGGAACGAUAACGGCGUCGAGCGGCGGACGGGUGAGUAAUGCCUAGGAAAUUGCCCUGAUGUGGGGGAUAACCAUUGGAAACGAUGGCUAAUACCGCAUGAUGCCUACGGGCCAAAGAGGGGGACCUUCGGGCCUCUCGCGUCAGGAUAUGCCUAGGUGGGAUUAGCUAGUUGGUGAGGUAAGGGCUCACCAAGGCGACGAUCCCUAGCUGGUCUGAGAGGAUGAUCAGCCACACUGGAACUGAGACACGGUCCAGACUCCUACGGGAGGCAGCAGUGGGGAAUAUUGCACAAUGGGCGCAAGCCUGAUGCAGCCAUGCCGCGUGUGUGAAGAAGGCCUUCGGGUUGUAAAGCACUUUCAGUCGUGAGGAAGGCGGCGUCGUUAAUAGCGGCGUUGUUUGACGUUAGCGACAGAAGAAGCACCGGCUAACUCCGUGCCAGCAGCCGCGGUAAUACGGAGGGUGCGAGCGUUAAUCGGAAUUACUGGGCGUAAAGCGCAUGCAGGUGGUUUGUUAAGUCAGAUGUGAAAGCCCGGGGCUCAACCUCGGAAUAGCAUUUGAAACUGGCAGACUAGAGUACUGUAGAGGGGGGUAGAAUUUCAGGUGUAGCGGUGAAAUGCGUAGAGAUCUGAAGGAAUACCGGUGGCGAAGGCGGCCCCCUGGACAGAUACUGACACUCAGAUGCGAAAGCGUGGGGAGCAAACA